AAAAUUGUUCGCUGAUUUGGAGAUAACUGAUGACCUGAGAAACUAUGAUUUAGAAACUAAAGUUUACUACAGUCGCUUGGGUAACCAACAAUUUGUUCUAAUGGCGUUUAAGUUUCCUCGUCGACCCAUGUGUGAUCAGCUAAAAAAUGAGUUUUGCGUAAAAAUAUUUCGCAGCUUGCAAAACUGUUCAAAUAUUCCAUUCUCCGAGGAUCCAAACGUAGAACUAUGUGAUUUAAUGACAUUGGGUUACUACUAUGAACGUAGCUGUUCAAUCGAUCCAUCAAUAUUCUCGUACAAAAUGCUUACGGGAAGAUUUCGAUUUGAGACCUACUUUUAUAAACGAGGAGAGAAUGAAGUGCUUCAGUCAAUCGUAAUACAGAUAAUGGCUACGUAAGCACAAAGCAAUGCUUACAGUUGCAAUGCACUUGCGAAUCAUUACCACACAAUAAUGGCACAAAUUGCAUGGUGUUUCUAUUCAUCCCAAAUUUUGGCACCGAAAAUGUUGACGAAAUAAUAAAGAUGUUCUUC
This is a long non-coding RNA of Bradysia coprophila, 528 nucleotides long. The record is from RefSeq and is a predicted model, not a curated record. Lineage: Eukaryota; Metazoa; Arthropoda; Insecta; Diptera; Sciaridae.